Molecule: ribosomal RNA, 254 nt
Filed under: uncultured bacterium
Lineage: Bacteria
Description: partial 16S ribosomal RNA
Rfam family: Bacterial small subunit ribosomal RNA
Source: RNAcentral
UACGAAGGGGGCUAGCGUUGCUCGGAAUCACUGGGCGUAAAGGGUGCGUAGGCGGGUCUUUUAAGUCAGGGGUGAAAUCCUGGAGCUCAACUCCAGAACUGCCUUUGAUACUGAGGAUCUUGAGUUCGGGAGAGGUGAGUGGAACUGCGAGUGUAGAGGUGAAAUUCGUAGAUAUUCGCAAGAACACCAGUGGCGAAGGCGGCUCACUGGCCCUAUACUGACGCUGAGGCACGAAAGCGUGGGGAGCAAACAGG